GGAGUUAUGAAAUGUAAAGGUGUUAAUAGCGCCUUUAUUUGACGAAGGCUCCAGAGGAAGCCACGGCUAACUCUGUGCCAGCAGCCGCGGUAAUACAGAGGUGGCAAGCGUUGUUCGGAAUUAUUGGGCGUAAAGAGCACGUAGGCGGUCCUGCAAGUCUGUUGUGUAAUCCUUCCGCUUAACGGGAGAACGGCAGCCGAUACUACAGGACUAGAGUACGGGAGGGGAGAGUG
RNAcentral lists this ribosomal RNA (233 nucleotides) under uncultured Planctomycetales bacterium. RNAcentral's name for it is "partial 16S ribosomal RNA". It matches the Rfam family "Bacterial small subunit ribosomal RNA", at positions 439 to 663 of the family's 1533-position model. The record is from RNAcentral. Lineage: Bacteria; Pseudomonadati; Planctomycetota; Planctomycetia; Planctomycetales.